Long non-coding RNA from Heterocephalus glaber (naked mole-rat), 3035 nucleotides. Lineage: Eukaryota; Metazoa; Chordata; Mammalia; Rodentia; Bathyergidae. The record is from Ensembl.
ACCAGCACCAACUCUUCCUGGGGCCUGGUGUUUAGUUGGGAGGAGGAGUCAUGGGCCCCAUUGAAUCAGCCUGGGGUCAUGGGCCCUGGCUCUGGAAUGGCUACAGCCCCAGGAGGUCCAUACAUCAGAGAACAGGCUUAGGUGGCUGGGGGCGCCUGACCAGGCCCGUAGCCAGCGCCCUGGGAGAGCUGACUCUGGAAUUCUGGACAACGUGGACACUGAGGAAUCAGCUCUGUGUCCCUGGGUCUCAGCCCAGGGGGGUCAUGUGACCACCUCCCCCAUACUCCCUCCACCCCUUGCCCCUUCCUUGUCUGCCUGGAGCCUGGCCCCUGGGGCUCUGUUGGUCUUGGAUCAGAGCUGGCGGGAACUGAUCCCCGUCACCAGCAUGCCUAACCUGAAGGGGCCCCUCUGGAAGUAGGGGAGUUUCAGGGUGGGACAAGGAUGCAGCUGGGAGCUUCUCAAGGUAGAACAGAAAGAGGGUGCUAAGGACCACAAGGGAGGAGCUGCUGUGAACCUCUGCCUCAUCAAGGAUUAAACUACCUGGCUAAGCUACUUGCUAGGAAGCAGCCUGUCAGGUUCCCUGCCUGGUCCUGCCCCUGCAGGGCCUCAAGGUCACCUGGGUAAGUCAGGGACUGGGGCCUGAAGAGAGGCAGGGCUGGCUGUGGAGCAGGAAGCCAGCACCUGCAGUUUGAAUCAGCCCUUAGCCUGUAACUCCUAUCUGACCUUGGCCUUGCCCUUUCCAUGGAGUGGAAGUGGGGUCAGCAGGUGUCUGCCAGCCAGCCAUAAUCCUCCAGCACCUUGUAGGCAAUCUCCACCUCCUUUUUCUUACUUCUAUAUGACCCAGCCCAAGCCCUCCUCCCUGGGAGCUGCCAACUCAGAGCCUGUAGCCUCCUAAUCCUUUCAGCUCUGGCCUGUCUGCUGCCAGCGGUCUCUUCCAGGGUUGUCUCUCCACCUUGAGGCUGAGGGCCUGAAGCAGGGCUCCUCUUCCCUCCAGAUGGCAGAGGCUGCUGGUGUCCAGAGCUGUGGGUGGGCAAGCCCUUGAACAAGGUGGCUGCUUCUGCCUGAAUGCUACUCCUUUCCCCAUUGGUCUUUCCUUCACUCUCCUUCUUCUCCUUCAAGAUUCAUGAAAGGCUGAUGCCUCCGUGAAAACUUGUAUUCAUUGAAUCCCACCAGCAUCUAUUGAUUAAUGUUUGGAUUCAAAUCCUGGUUGUGCUAUUAACUUUGUACUGUUUUUUUUGAGACAGGGUCUUAUUAUGUAGUUCAGGCUGGGCUUGAACUUACUUCGUAGCCUAGGCUGGCUACAAACUGGAACUUGCAGUGAUCCUCCUCCCGAAUGCUAGGAUUACAGACUUGUGUCACCACACCUGGCUUCUGCUAUUAACUUUGGAUGAGCUGGGGCUGGGGAUUUAGCUCAGUGGUUUCAUCGCCUGCUGCGCAAGCGCAAGGACCUGAGUUCGAUCCCCGGUACCAAAACAAAACAAAAACAAAAAAACCCCAAACUUUGGACAAGCUACUUGACGCAUUUGGACCUCAGUGUUUUCCCUUGGAAAUGGGAAUCCCCCCCUCAUAAGGCUGCUGGGAGAAUGAGACAGAGCACGUGUUUAUUGUGGGCACAGCCCAGGAAAUGACAAUCUUUUCGCUCACCUGCUCCUUGCUUGGGUGAGCCAUCCCCCACCACCUUAGUCAACUCUUUCUCUGAAAGACAGUGGCAGCACUGGUGACAAGUUCGAUGACCACAGGGAUCGAACUCGGGACCUUCCACUUGUGUGGCAAGCACCGGAACCACUGAGCUAAAUCCCCCGCCCUACUGUACUAUAUUUUAAAAAUUUAAACAUUCACUUGUAUAUUUUGAUCAUGCUUUGUGUUUUACAUUUAACUGAAGGAACUGAGGCAGAGACCUUAAGCUUGCCCAAAGUCACACAGCCAACAAGUGGUAUUGGUGGUGUGCUAAGAUUUGAACCCAGGCAAGGUGAGUGCCUGCAGAGAUGCGUCUUAAUUAACAGCAGGGAUUCUGGGGCUAGACUGGGUUCCCAUCCCAGAUUUCCCAGGUAUUCGCUCCACCACUCUGUCCUUUGGUUUCCCAUCAGGAAAAUGAGCAAUGAGAGGGAGAAUUGUGCCACUUUCUUGGUGCUAUUGGGUGGAUUAAAUGUACAGGCGCCCGUAAAGCGCUCAGCAGGGCUUGGUGUGUGGAAUGCGCAGCUGAGGAUAUGCCCUUCUUAUACUGGAAGCAAAGAGAGGAAGCCAGUAGGGGGGCAAUGGAGAGGUUGCAGUGACUCCUCAAACCUUUCCCAGUAUCCACUAUUUAUGGACCCUCGCCUGGGUCAGCCAAGACCCCUGGCAGCAGGUGGAGGAGCACCUUGCAGUAGAGGGGAAGAAAGCUUUGCUCUACUUGGAGGUAGCCGUGGAACUUUCUGCACGUUACUCUGGGAGCCCCAGAGGAACAGUGGUGUCCCCCUCGUCAGGUGGUGAUGAGGACCAGGUGAGAUCAUGGUGUGAACAGUUGUACCCAGCUCAAUGCCAAGCACCAGGUGACACUUGACAUAUGGUAGCUACUUCCACCACCUCUAGUGAUCUUGAUGGGUUCCAGGAGGGCUAGACAUGGUGCUAAAAUAAAAUAAGGUGGGCCAGGGAUUUAGCUCAGUGGUUUCGCUGCCUGCUGUGCAAGCGCAAGGGCCUGAGUUCCAUCCCCGGUACCAAAAAACCCCCCACAAAAAACAAAAAACAAAAAAAUAAUAAAAUAAAAUGAUGUGGGAGCAUGGGAGCUGAGGACAGUGUCUAGACACUCAGUCAAGGUUGGUCAGAUGUGACAGAGCCUUGCCGUCUGGCAAGGAUCAGGGACAGGUCAAAGAGGAGGAGCUGGAUUAGUCAGAAAAGGAAGGGGGUGAAGGCCACACCACAUGUCCCUGGGGCCACAGCCUCACCCCAUCUAAGUCAGCACCCUUCGGACCCUGGGUUCUAUGUUCCUGUGACCUGGAAGAUGAGAAGCACGGAUCAUGAGCCCUGGGGACAGUGGCGGACCUCCUGCUCAGUAGAGG